AGAGUUUGAUCCUGGCUCAGGAUGAACGCUAGCGACAGCCUUAACACAUGCAAGUCGAGGGGCAGCACAUGAGUAGCAAUACGAUGGUGGCGACCGGCGCACGGGUGAGUAACACGUAUGCAACCUACCUUCUACCAGGGGAUAACCCGUUGAAAGACGGACUAAUACCCUAUAAUACAGGGGCUCCGCAUGGAGAUAUUUGUUAAAGAUUCAUCAGUAGAAGAUGGGCAUGCGCAUGAUUAGCUAGUUGGCGGGGUAACGGCCCACCAAGGCAUCGAUCAUUAGGGGUUCUGAGAGGAAGGUCCCCCACACUGGUACUGAGACACGGACCAGACUCCUACGGGAGGCAGCAGUGAGGAAUAUUGGUCAAUGGGCGAGAGCCUGAACCAGCCAAGUCGCGUGAAGGAAGACUGUCCUAUGGAUUGUAAACUUCUUUUGUACGGGAAUAAAGUGGGCUACGUGUAGCCUUUUGUAUGUACCGUACGAAUAAGGAUCCGGCUUACUCCGUGCCAGCAGCCGCGGUAAUAC
This 528-nucleotide ribosomal RNA is filed under the name uncultured bacterium. RNAcentral's name for it is "bacterial SSU rRNA". It matches the Rfam family "Bacterial small subunit ribosomal RNA", at positions 8 to 526 of the family's 1533-position model. The record is from RNAcentral.